Molecule: ribosomal RNA, 484 nt
Filed under: uncultured bacterium
Lineage: Bacteria
Description: partial 16S ribosomal RNA
Rfam family: Bacterial small subunit ribosomal RNA
Source: RNAcentral
AUUGAACGCUGGCGGCAGGCCUGACACAUGCAAGUCGAGCGGAUGAAGGGAGCUUGCUCCUGGAUUCAGCGGCGGACGGGUGAGUAAUGCCUAGGAAUCUGCCUGGUAGUGGGGGAUAACGUCCGGAAACGGGCGCUAAUACCGCAUACGUCCUGAGGGAGAAAGUGGGGGAUCUUCGGACCUCACGCUAUCAGAUGAGCCUAGGUCGGAUUAGCUAGUUGGUGGGGUAAAGGCCUACCAAGGCGACGAUCCGUAACUGGUCUGAGAGGAUGAUCAGUCACACUGGAACUGAGACACGGUCCAGACUCCUACGGGAGGCAGCAGUGGGGAAUAUUGGACAAAGGGCGAAAGCCUGAUCCAGCCAUGCCGCGUGUGUGAAGAAGGUCUUCGGAUUGUAAAGCACUUUAAGUUGGGAGGAAGGGCAGUAAGUUAAUACCUUGCUGUUUUGACGUUACCAACAGAAUAAGCACCGGCUAACUUCGUG